RNAcentral lists this ribosomal RNA (451 nucleotides) under uncultured bacterium. RNAcentral's name for it is "bacterial SSU rRNA". It matches the Rfam family "Bacterial small subunit ribosomal RNA", at positions 328 to 795 of the family's 1533-position model. The record is from RNAcentral.
UGACCAGACUCCUACGGGAGGCAGCAGUGGGGGAUAUUGCACAAUGGGGGGAACCCUGAUGCAGCGACGCCGCGUGGGUGAAGGAGUAUUUCGGUAUGUAAAGCCCUAUCGGCAGGGAAGAAGCAAGACGGUACCUUACUAAGAAGCCCCGGCUAACUACGUGCCAGCAGCCGCGGUAAUACGUAGGGGGCGAGCGUUAUCCGGAUUCACUGGGUGUAAAGGGAGCGUAGACGGCCAAGCAAGCCAGGGGUGAAAGGCCGGGGCCCAACCCCGGGACUGCUCUUGGAACUGCGCGGCUGGAGUGCAGGAGGGGCAGGCGGAAUUCCUGGUGUAGCGGUGAAAUGCGUAGAUAUCAGGAGGAACACCGGUGGCGAAGGCGGCCUGCUGGACUGCGACUGACGUUGAGGCCCGAAAGCGUGGGGAGCAAACAGGAUUAGAUACCCGGGUAGUA